Molecule: long non-coding RNA, 357 nt
Organism: Salvelinus namaycush (lake trout)
Lineage: Eukaryota; Metazoa; Chordata; Actinopteri; Salmoniformes; Salmonidae
Exons: 2
Source: RefSeq, a predicted model, not a curated record
CCUGACCUCCUCUGAUCUAUCUGUAUCCUCAGCUGGCGACGUCCUCCCACUUCCUGAAGGACCUGGGGUUAGACAGCUUGGACCAGGUAGAGAUCAUCAUGGCCAUGGAGGAUGAGUUUGGGUUUGAGAUCCCGGAUGUGGAGGCGGAGAAGCUGAUGUGUCCUCAGGAUAUCGUCCAGUACAUCGCUGACAAGAAGGACGUGUAUGAAUAAGAAGGAACCAGGAACUACACUCAGUGAGUGUCCGCGCCGACGUCCCCCGCGGCGUUGAAAAGGGUGUAACGCUCUCUCACCAUUUACAUGUUUUAUUUUUAUUUAAAGAACUAAUAAAAGCCUUGUGUUUUGGCCUUCAGAACAA